UUAGUGGAAGCGUCUGGAAAGGCGCGCGAUACAGGGUGACAGCCCCGUACACAAAAGCGCAUGUGCUGUGAGCUCGAUGAGUAGGGCGGGACACGUGGUAUCCUGUCUGAAUAUGGGGGGACCAUCCUCCAAGGCUAAAUACUCCUGACUGACCGAUAGUGAACCAGUACCGUGAGGGAAAGGCGAAAAGAACCCCGGCGAGGGGAGUGAAAAAGAACCUGAAACCGUGUACGUACAAGCAGUGGGAGCCCCACCACCAAAGCAUUCUCUGGUGUUGAAGGCCCUGCAAAGCAGCAUCGCGGUGGCGGAGCGUCGUUUGCGACGCCCAACACACAAAACAAGCGGUGAGUGCUUUGGGGUGGGGUGACUGCGUACCUUUUGUAUAAUGGGUCAGCGACUUAUAUUCUGUAGCAAGGUUAACCGAAUAGGGGAGCCGGAGGGAAACCGAGUCUUAAYYGGGCGUUAAGUUGCAGGGUAUAGACCCGAAACCCGGUGAUCUAGCCAUGGGCAGGUUGAAGGUUGGGUAACACUAACUGGAGGACCGAACCGACUAAUGUUGAAAAAUUAGCGGAUGACCUGUGGCUGGGGGUGAAAGGCCAAUCAAACCGGGAGAUAGCUGGUUCUCCCCGAAAGCUAUUUAGGUAGCGCCUCGUGAAUUCAUCUCCGGGGGUAGAGCACUGUUUCGGCUAGGGGGCCAUCCCGGCUUACCAACCCGAUGCAAACUGCGAAUACCGGAGAAUGUUAUCACGGGAGACACACGGCGGGUGCUAACGUCCGUCGUGAAGAGGGAAACAACCCAGACCGCCAGCUAAGGUCCCAAAGUCAUGGUUAAGUGGGAAACGAUGUGGGAAGGCCCAGACAGCCAGGAUGUUGGCUUAGAAGCAGCCAUCAUUUAAAGAAAGCGUAAUAGCUCACUGGUCGAGUCGGCCUGCGCGGAAGAUGUAACGGGGCUAAACCAUGCACCGAAGCUGCGGCAGCGA
RNAcentral lists this ribosomal RNA (980 nucleotides) under Salmonella enterica subsp. enterica serovar Infantis. Its description in RNAcentral is "partial 23S ribosomal RNA". Lineage: Bacteria; Pseudomonadati; Pseudomonadota; Gammaproteobacteria; Enterobacterales; Enterobacteriaceae. The record is from RNAcentral.